AUUGAACGCUGGCGGCAUGCCUUACACAUGCAAGUCGAACGGCAGCACGGGAGCAAUCCUGGUGGCGAGUGGCGAACGGGUGAGUAAUAUAUCGGAACGUGCCCAGUCGUGGGGAUAACGUAGCGAAAGCUACGCUAAUACCGCAUACGAUCUAUGGAUGAAAGCGGGGGAUCGCAAGACCUCGCGCGAUUGGAGCGGCCGAUAUCAGAUUAGGUAGUUGGUGAGGUAAAGGCUCACCAAGCCGACGAUCUGUAGCUGGUCUGAGAGGACGACCAGCCACACUGGGACUGAGACACGGCCCAGACUCCUACGGGAGGCAGCAGUGGGGAAUUUUGGACAAUGGGCGCAAGCCUGAUCCAGCAAUGCCGCGUGCAGGAUGAAGGGCCCUUCGGGUUGGUUAAAC
RNAcentral lists this ribosomal RNA (403 nucleotides) under uncultured bacterium. RNAcentral describes it as "bacterial SSU rRNA". It matches the Rfam family "Bacterial small subunit ribosomal RNA", at positions 30 to 430 of the family's 1533-position model. The record is from RNAcentral.